CCAGUUGACCGGGUGACCGCUGGCAGUGGGGUAACCUGCUGCGGGAGGAAAGUCCGGGCUCCUUCGAAACACGGUGCCGGUUAAUGGCCGGCGGGGGCGACCCCAGGGAAAGUGCCACAGAAAGUAAACCGCCACGGCAUGCCGGGGUAAGGAUGAAAGGGUGCGGUAAGAGCGCACCGGGCAACCAGCAAUGGAAGCCGCACGGUAAACCCCACCGGGAGCAAGACCAAAUAGGGAUGACGCGGGGCUUCGGUCCCAGCCUGUUUUGAGGCCAGAUCAUCCGGGUUGGUUGCACGAGCGUCCUGGUAACAGGCGCCAUAGAUGAAUGGUCACCACGUCUGCGUCGCAAGGCGCAGGCCCUACAGAACCCGGCUUACAGGUCAACUGGCGUU
RNAcentral lists this RNase P RNA (392 nucleotides) under Devosia psychrophila. RNAcentral's name for it is "bacterial RNase P". It matches the Rfam family "Bacterial RNase P class A". Rfam says of the family: Ribonuclease P (RNase P) is a ubiquitous endoribonuclease, found in archaea, bacteria and eukarya as well as chloroplasts and mitochondria. Its best characterised activity is the generation of mature 5'-ends of tRNAs by cleaving the 5'-leader elements of precursor-tRNAs. Lineage: Bacteria; Pseudomonadati; Pseudomonadota; Alphaproteobacteria; Hyphomicrobiales; Devosiaceae. The record is from RNAcentral.